Molecule: transfer RNA, 85 nt
Filed under: Robiginitomaculum sp.
Lineage: Bacteria; Pseudomonadati; Pseudomonadota; Alphaproteobacteria; Maricaulales; Robiginitomaculaceae
Description: tRNA-Leu
Rfam family: tRNA
About the family: Transfer RNA (tRNA) molecules are approximately 80 nucleotides in length. Their secondary structure includes four short double-helical elements and three loops (D, anti-codon, and T loops). Further hydrogen bonds mediate the characteristic L-shaped molecular structure. tRNAs have two regions of fundamental functional importance: the anti-codon, which is responsible for specific mRNA codon recognition, and the 3' end, to which the tRNAs corresponding amino acid is attached (by aminoacyl-tRNA synthetases). tRNAs cope with the degeneracy of the genetic code in two manners: having more than one tRNA (with a specific anti-codon) for a particular amino acid; and 'wobble' base-pairing, i.e. permitting non-standard base-pairing at the 3rd anti-codon position.
Source: RNAcentral
GCGGGUGUGGCGGAACUGGUAGACGCGUAGGAUUCAAAAUCCUAUUUCCUAGGAAGUGCCGGUUCGAUUCCGGCCACCCGUACCA